This 489-nucleotide ribosomal RNA is filed under the name uncultured bacterium. Its description in RNAcentral is "bacterial SSU rRNA". It matches the Rfam family "Bacterial small subunit ribosomal RNA", at positions 28 to 463 of the family's 1533-position model. The record is from RNAcentral.
GAUAAACGCUGGCGGCGCACAUAAGACAUGCAAGUCGAACGAAAGUCGUUAUAUUGAUUUUGAUUUUAAUUUGAGGAUUUAUCCGAUAAAAGAAUGAGAAUGAUAUAUAACAAUGGCUUUAGUGGCGGACUGGUGAGUAACGCGUAAGCAAUCUACCUAUUAGAGGGGAAUAACAGUGAGAAAUCAUUGCUAAUACCGCAUAUGCCAUAAUUAUCACAUGAUAAUAGUGGGAAAGGAGUAAUCCGCUAAUAGAUGAGCUUGCGUCUGAUUAGCUAGUUGGUAGGGUAAUGGCCUACCAAGGCGACGAUCAGUAGCCGGACUGAGAGGUUGAACGGCCACAUUGGGACUGAGAUACGGCCAGACUCCUACGGGAGGCAGCAGUCGGGAAUUUUGCGCAAUGGAGGAAACUCUGACGCAGUGACGCCGCGUAUAGGAAGAAGGUUUCGGAUUGUAAACUAUUGUCGUUAGGAAGAUACAAGACAGUAACCG